RNAcentral lists this small RNA (194 nucleotides) under Arabidopsis thaliana (thale cress). RNAcentral describes it as "ATSL083270". Lineage: Eukaryota; Viridiplantae; Streptophyta; Magnoliopsida; Brassicales; Brassicaceae. The record is from RNAcentral.
AAAAUCGAAAUUACAUGCUAGCAUCAGCUACUGGAGCGAUAGUCGAGAGCAAAUAAUUUUUUUUUUCUCUCAUUUUCCACAAAAACGCGUUUUUCCGACUAAUUACAAGCCGCCACGUCAUUAGAGACUAGUAUCAGAAAUAUCACUCCAGUGAUAAUUCUCAAGUCCAAAUCAGUUGCUUUGUCUAUUAAUUU